Molecule: non-coding RNA, 96 nt
Filed under: chicken gut metagenome
Description: THF riboswitch
Rfam family: THF (Tetrahydrofolate) riboswitch aptamer
About the family: THF riboswitch presents a pseudoknot that joins P1-P2 and the loop of P3 and two THF binding.
Source: RNAcentral
GUAGAGUAAAUAUUGCGCGUAAAGUGUCUCAAGGAUGGGAAGUUGCCUGGGAACGAAGGAAGCGGAAGCUUCCACGAUGCAAUGUUGCGUCCGCUA